UAUUGCCUACGGGACGCAGCAGUGGGAAUAUUGCACAAUGGGGGAAACCCUGAUGCAGCGACGCCGCGUGAGUGAAGAAGGAAUUCGUUAUGUAAAGCUCUAUCAGCAGGGAAGAAAAUGACGGUACCUGAGUAAGAAGCCCCGGCUAACUACGUGCCAGAAGCCGAGGUAAUACGUAGGGGGCAAGCGUUAUCCGGAUUGACUGGGUGUAAAGGGAGCGGAGACGGCAGUGCAAGUCUGGAGUGAAAGGCGGGGGCUAAACC
RNAcentral lists this ribosomal RNA (263 nucleotides) under uncultured bacterium. RNAcentral describes it as "partial 16S ribosomal RNA". It matches the Rfam family "Bacterial small subunit ribosomal RNA", at positions 333 to 614 of the family's 1533-position model. The record is from RNAcentral.